UAAGGGCGGAUAUAGAAUCUGCCACUGGAGGAUGCUUUUGUGGCACAGUCGACAGCGCGUUGGACUUCGGACUAGAUGGUUGAGGGUUCGAGCCUGGUUCAUUAUAUUUUAUUUGCGGAGGGAGAUGAAAUCUAGACGCUUGAUAUCAGAUGUCAUUAUUUAAAGAAUACACCCCAAAAUACACCCAAAUAAACCCCUUUAAAACAAAGUUUUACUCGUAACGAAAUUACGCGUAAAAAACAACAGAAUAAAAACACACAAAAGCAACCAAUGUACUUUUUGGAACAUCCCAAUUAGGUUCAGCAAAUGUAAGCUUGCGCGUGGCGCAUCGCUUUUGACAAUCGGUUCAACGUUUUUUCGUGCACUUCAGGUGGGGAAAGUUUGCGCGGCAGUGUGUUUCAUUUAUUCUGUUUUAACGGUUUUAGAAAUGGAUAUCCAGAAACAGAGAAACGGAUGUCAGACUUCCACAAGUUUGAAGCUGUCAAAUGGUUAUAUUUUACCUGAAGGUGAAAUGACUCCCAACACACUUUUUGUUGGAGGAAUCGACAUGAAGGUGGAUGAGAACGAAAUCCGGGACUUCUUUGCGAGAUUUGGUGCCGUGAAGGAAGUGAAAAUCAUCACUUACCGUGGAGGUAUCUGCAAAGGUUAUGGAUUUGUUUACUUCAAUGAAGACGUCGACAUCCAAACCAUCGUUGAACAACAGAUCAGUUUUAAAGGGAGGAAACUCAAGCUGGGUCCAGCAAUCAUGAAGGAAAGGAGCUCACGUUCCAUGCCGUCUCACCUGGUUGGUCAGGCCCCCUGGUUAACCCCCUCCCAGUACAUCUACUGCACUUGCUGCUCUCCUAUGGGCGGGGGCAUGGCUCAGCCUUCACCUGUACUCAAUGGCGGCAAUCCCUACUUCCAGCCUUACUCGUACAACGGCUUUCCAGGAGUCAUGAUUCCACAGAUGCCCAUGAGCUACUCACAAACCGCGUACGCGUACCAGUACGCCUCACCACACUGGACUGGGGAGCAGAGGACACGGCUCAUCAACCAGCCGGCUCAUUAUGUGAUGUGAUGCCCCGUUUCCAGAACUUUGUGGACUGCGGAGUCCAGACUCUGCUGUAGUCCACAGCCCACUGACCCUCCUGCUGUACCAGGGGGCGACGUCUCCAUGCAGACUGGAUCAGAAGGUGACAUCCUGGCCAUUAGAGAGCUAGCAGCAAUAGACUUUAAAAAUAUACACUUUCAGGAUGCUUUCUCUCUACGACAUCUCUUGCUCACUUUGAGACCCGACCGCGGCGGCUCAACACUUGCACCUGCACCCGAUGGGCGUGGUCACUGACCGUGCUCCGUGUUUGACUUGGCAAGGACCAUGGUCCUGGCGCUUGGACCGCUUUCAACCCAUCCCGAACACUGUCACACAGGGAAGAGCGGAAGGGAUUUUGGAGCUUCAGCUUGUUUACAGCACAGAGCAACGCUUGGUGUCUGUCUUUUUUUUUUUGUGUGUGGGGGGGUGGUUGGUUUUGAUAACCCCCAAAAAGAAAAUAGUUUUAAGCUCAUCUGUGCAUAUUUAUAUUUUAUGUUUGACUAUUUAUGUUGAAAGUUUUUUAAUGUCAGUUUGUUUGGGUGUAAGCUUUUUGCUGGGCUUCUGUACAUAGAUUUGUAAUACAACAAAUUAGCCUUUAGAAUAGUGUGUUGAUUUUGACUUUUUCUAUUAUUAAUUCAUGAUUCCAUCCCCAUAUUCCUCUGAUUUAAGAAACGAAUGCAUCAAAUUAUUGUGGGCAGAAUUGGGCACAACACUGGCACAUUAUUUUUCAGGCGCUCCUGUUGCCUUAGUGCUCUUUUAUAUAAUUUCUUGACAGGUUCCUUUCUUAAGCUACUUAAAUCACCUUUUUAUUUCGAUUCACUUCAGUGAAUUAGAAGUGCCUGCCUGCUUUUUUUGUUGAGGGGUUAAUUGAUUCGAUGUUAGUGUAUUUACAAUUGGGAUGCACUGAUAUCAUCUCCAGUGUUGCUGUUUACAAAGUUAUGAAUCCUUUUGUGGCCAAUGUUUCUUAGGCUGCGUACCACAUGUUACCCUUGUCCUUAUUUAGUGCACUACUUUUGACUAGAACCCUGAGCAACAGUAGUGAACUAUAGGGAAUAUGGUGUUAUUUGGCACCGAGGCCUUUGAGUGUUGCCGUUUCUUAAGUUAUGCAUCCUGUGGCCAAUGUUUCUUAGACGGUUCCAGCUCUUGCAGUACGUCGCCAAGAGGAAAAUCAUUGAGUCAAUUUCACCUGACGGUGUUGAUAAACUACUUUUAUAAUGCAGCCCAGCAGCCUGGGUCGGGAAACCUGUUUUAAUUCACUCUGAAAUGAAGGACAUAACUAACAGCAAUGCGUUCCAUCACUACUGGUUGAAGUUCUCUUAAAGUUCACUUUAUAUAUUUGUUGUUGUUGCACUGAUUGAUUUGUUGACAAAGUGUGUUUUGUAAGAAUGUUUAGCUCUUUUUUUUAGAGGUGUGAUUUGAUAUGUUUAUGACGCAUUAAUACUAUAUUUUCAGUUUGAUUCUAAUCACUUUUCAGCCCGACGGGUUAACUGGUUGCAUUUAAAAUAGAUAAACACAUUUUGCAUUUCAAUAUAUUUAUUCUUUGAUAGAUCAGUUGAGAGAAAUGUGUUGACUCCCUGUCUUUGUCUUGUAAGCCAGUCUUUCCCAAAUACCUUUCUAUUUGUUUUUUUGAAAGAUAAGCUUGGAAUUGGCUCAACAACCACAAACACACAUCUAAGUUUAGCUUUGUUAUAAUGAACCAGACAAUCUAUAGUUAUUUCUGGUUGUUUGUGAAAGUUAGCUGGCUAACUCAUUGAUCCUUCUUUGUAUUAUAACCCUUGGAGUUUUUUCCCAGAAGAGUACACUGUUUCUGAAAUAUUGAUCUGUUUACUGUUGCAUAGCUGCUCUGUCUUCACUGUGGACUGAUUGACAUCUGAAGUUGGUCAAGACCCAGAGUGUGAUCCAAAGAGCAGACAUGCCUAACGAUUUUGCUACGGUCAAUUAAAGUAUGAAGCUGGCCCUAA
RNA transcript from Salvelinus sp. IW2-2015, 3030 nucleotides. It is a transcript of the gene named deleted in azoospermia-like, with no coding region annotated. The record is from RefSeq and is a predicted model, not a curated record. NCBI's taxonomy places the organism in Eukaryota, Metazoa, Chordata, Actinopteri, Salmoniformes, Salmonidae.